This 304-nucleotide long non-coding RNA is filed under the name Carica papaya (papaya). Its description in RNAcentral is "long non-coding RNA (CPAP_LNC012508)". The record is from RNAcentral. Lineage: Eukaryota; Viridiplantae; Streptophyta; Magnoliopsida; Brassicales; Caricaceae.
AGGAAAUAGAGUAAGGGAUCCUUACUUGAUUCGAUGCCGAAAACUAGAUGGUUACUGCGCCUACGGGCGGUCCUUGGGUUUAAUGAAUUUUCUUUCGAGAACAUAAACACGUUUACGAUACCUACAAGUGUCCCAAAUAACCCAAAAAUCAGACCGAGGACCUACUCAGCCAAUUUUAGAAUUCUGGCACGGCAGCUCCACCGUGCUAAGGCGACGAUGCUGCCGCCCGCAGCAGUGAGUCGCCUCGGGUUGGCUGUUUUCGAUCAUUUUUGGCCGAAUUCAGGCGAACUUACACUGGUUCCUG